GUAGUGAUUGGAGACAAGGUGAUGCAUGAAGGUGAGUGGCUAUCACUGAAUGGAUCUACUGGUGAAGUCAUCGUGGGGAAGCAGCCACUUUCCCCACCAGUCCUCAGUGGUGAUCUGGGAACCUUCAUGUCCUGGGUAGAUGAAGUUAGGCAACUGAAGGUAAAUUCCUAGAAAUAACAAAUAUGUAAUAUUAGUUAAAACAUGGAUACAAACUGUUGGAAGUAGAAACCAACAAAAAGGGCAUCAGAUUAUUUAUUCAGACAGGCCAAAGCUAGUCAACCCCACUACACAUUUUUCAACAGAAAUGCUUAUUCGUACAUAUGAUCCACCUUCCAGGUUUUGGCUAAUGCGGAUACCCCUGAGGAUGCACUGACAGCAAGAAACAAUGGGGCAGAAGGAAUUGGACUAUGCCGGACGGAGCACAUGGUAUGUAUUUUAGUUACUGUCCAAUAUCUUUUGGGUGGGAUCUUGGAAAACUUACUCUUUCUUGAAUUCCUUCGUCGAACAGUUGGGUAAACUUUAAGGACCUCCCGUUCUAGUCUCAUGUUCUCCUUUUCUGCACUUUGGCAGUUCUUUGCUUCGGAUGAGAGGAUUAAGGCUGUGAGGCAGAUGAUUAUGGCUCCCACACUUGAACUGAGGCAGAAGGCACUAGAUCGUCUUUUGCCUUAUCAGAGGUCUGACUUUGAAGGCAUUUUCCGUGCUAUGGAUGGUAUGUGAAAAUCACGAUGCAUUCAUUUACAUGCUCUCCAAUUGAACUGGAUGCACUAGUGUUACUGAACAUAACAAGAGUAAGCAACCUUCUUAAAUAGACAACAUUGACUACUAAUGUAAAGUGAAAAGGUAGACAAGUUUUAAACCUUAGGAUGCAAAAUACUUCAAAAAUAAGAACGAAAUUGGGCCAGUAACAUAUUGCAUCAAUUAUUUAACUUGGUAACAUAAAGUUCUGCUAUGAUUUAUCCAUUAGUUUUUUUUAAUCUUUUAUAGCGAGUGGUAUAUGUACAUGUUUCAUGGAAACAGAUAUAGAAUUAAACUACUAGAAUAAAUUUUAACAUGUAUUGUAGUUAGUUCCACAGUAUGUAUUUUAAAGUGCGGAAUGGAUUUGAACAUUAUUUUUUUUGCAUUUCAGGGCUUUCAGUGACUAUUCGGCUUCUGGACCCCCCACUUCAUGAGUUUCUUCCUGACGGGAAUGUUGAAGACAUUGUGCGUGAAUUAUGUUCUGAAACUGGAGCCAAUCAGGAGGAAGCCCUUGCAAGAAUUGAAAGUCUUUCAGAAGUAAAUCCAAUGCUUGGUUUCCGUGGGUGCAGGUUGGUUUUUGUGCUCCGUUUAAAUCAGUCACCCCCCCUCCUUGAUCCAUUUGGUUCCCUUGUUAGUGAAAUAUUAAAAAGAAUAAACUCUGUAUAUUUACCUCGACUAAUAUUGGAACUGCUAAAAUUCCAGGCUCGGUAUAUCAUAUCCUGAGCUAACAGAAAUGCAAGCCCGUGCCAUCUUUGAAGCUGCUAUAGCGAUGACCAACCAGGGUGUUCAAGUUUUCCCAGAGAUAAUGGUUCCUCUUGUUGGGACACCUCAGGCAUGCAUCUUUAUUUCCUUAUUUGUGCAUAUGGUAUCUCUGCAGUUCAUGGUGUUCAAAAUGACAAAAUCAAAAUUGAAUAAACAACCAAGUUCUGUACACAUGUAAUUUACGAUUUUAUGCAAACAUCAAGUUGACCUACACCCAAUUUCCCACCAAAUUCAUUUCUUGAAAUUUUCUCUCUCGAAUUCUAAGUUUAUUGCUUUCACUUGAUUUUUCCUUCAGACAUCUGACAUUUGACUUUUGCAGGAACUGGGGAAUCAAGUGGCCCUUAUCCGUGAAACUGCUAACAAAGUUUUCGCUGCUCUGGGUAAAACCAUUGACUACAAAAUUGGAACUAUGAUUGAAAUUCCGAGGGCAGCUCUAGUAGCUGAUGAGGUAGGAAGCAUCUAACUCCCUUCAGAAUAAUCUUAAAUAUUGCUGUUUAGGUUUAGCUUUUAGAUCAUAUUUUUCAUGAAUGGUUUAGUAAUAGAACCCCGGAUUUUUACUCUAAAACAUGUGAAUAGUAACUGAUGGUAUGAAUUUAUUAAGUGCAAAUAAUAAGUUUAUCCUCUAAUUUAAAAAAAAAACUGACAUUCUUGUUUUGGUUUCACAACCUGACAGAUAGCAGAGCAGGCUGAAUUCUUCUCUUUUGGAACGAACGACCUCACACAGAUGACAUUUGGCUACAGCAGGGAUGAUGUGGGGAAGUUUCUUCCCAUUUAUCUGUCUCAGGGUAUCCUCCAACAUGAUCCCUUUGAGGUAAAAUUUUAGCAGCUCUCACCCUUCAGUUUUAGAUGAUAUACCUGCAUUUUCAUCAUCCACUCUUGUUUUUCAAGGAAUAUUUCCAUCAUCCACAGAUGCGAGCAUCUCAUGUCCUCUAGGCAUUUUUCAUGUCCUUGACUUUUGGUUACGUGCAUGCUCUGGUAAAAUUCAACCUAGUAACUUGCCCAUUGAAUGUUGAUAAACAUAUCAGGUGCUGGAUCAGAGGGGAGUGGGCGAGCUGGUUAAGUUUGCUACAGAGAGGGGUCGCAAAGCUAGGCCUAACUUGAAGGUUAGUUUUUGGGACUUGUGGACAUUGGCUCUUUUCCUUAGAAAUCAUGGUUUCAUUGUUUGGUGCUGUCUGCAAACAGGUGGGCAUCUGUGGAGAACACGGUGGGGAGCCUUCGUCAGUUGCAUUCUUUGCAAAGUCGGGGCUGGAUUAUGUUUCUUGCUCGCCUUUCAGGUUGGUCAAGUGAUAAACUCAAGAUACAACUCCCAGAUUCAUAACUGUAGCAAAACCUUAACUACUUUUUAUGAAAUAUCUUGUGCAGGGUUCCCAUCGCCAGGCUAGCUGCAGCUCAGGUGCUCGUCUGAGGGCACCGCCUCAUCGGCAACCGGAUCACCUGCUGUUGGUGCGUCUGGUGAAGAAUACUAAUACAAAGCCAUGGAACGGUGGAACUCUGCUGCCUGGCAAAGGCCGUUGUAUCUUGUAUGAAGUCUCCGUGCGCGUGCGCAUGUAAGACUUAAUGUGUGGUUUUCUGCAUUUUCCCUUGAACUACCAUGGUAAUGUAGUACCAAACAGAGAUGAUGACGAAGAACAAUCGAAUAAAUUAAUUGGCGAUUAC
Molecule: long non-coding RNA, 3153 nt
Filed under: Setaria viridis
Lineage: Eukaryota; Viridiplantae; Streptophyta; Magnoliopsida; Poales; Poaceae
Description: long non-coding RNA (SVIR_LNC002901)
Source: RNAcentral